Molecule: transfer RNA, 72 nt
Filed under: Ictidomys tridecemlineatus (thirteen-lined ground squirrel)
Lineage: Eukaryota; Metazoa; Chordata; Mammalia; Rodentia; Sciuridae
Description: Spermophilus tridecemlineatus (thirteen-lined ground squirrel) tRNA
Rfam family: tRNA
About the family: Transfer RNA (tRNA) molecules are approximately 80 nucleotides in length. Their secondary structure includes four short double-helical elements and three loops (D, anti-codon, and T loops). Further hydrogen bonds mediate the characteristic L-shaped molecular structure. tRNAs have two regions of fundamental functional importance: the anti-codon, which is responsible for specific mRNA codon recognition, and the 3' end, to which the tRNAs corresponding amino acid is attached (by aminoacyl-tRNA synthetases). tRNAs cope with the degeneracy of the genetic code in two manners: having more than one tRNA (with a specific anti-codon) for a particular amino acid; and 'wobble' base-pairing, i.e. permitting non-standard base-pairing at the 3rd anti-codon position.
Source: Rfam by way of RNAcentral
GGGAGUGUAGCUCCGUGGUAGAGCAUGCGCUUAGCAUGCUUAAGGUCCUGGGUUCUAUCCCCAGCACCAUUA